Molecule: long non-coding RNA, 3016 nt
Organism: Hemibagrus wyckioides
Lineage: Eukaryota; Metazoa; Chordata; Actinopteri; Siluriformes; Bagridae
Exons: 2
Source: RefSeq, a predicted model, not a curated record
UAACAGGGAGUGGGGCCAAAUUGUCUGUUCAAGGGUGUGUGGGGAGUGUGCGGGGCACCAGGAAGGUGGAGGGGAGUUUUCUACAGUCUAUCAAAUACAGAAAAUAUCAACGAAAACUGAAGCCGAAGCAUCAUCACAACAGAAUUCUGAGGGGGUUAUUAUGGGCAUCAAGUUUAUUUCUUUUUUCCGACACCCAGAAACUGCGGGAUUGAGUUUGACAUCAAGGUUUCAUCUGUUCCAGUAACUGCUUUGGAUUAAGUCAAAGAUGCAGUACUUGCAGGAUCAGCUGACUUUAUGCGGUGCCUCCAUUCUUGAAGCUCAACAGCAGACCUAAGAUCGACAUUUAAACUUUUCUCCAAAUCUUUUGGCCAUUACAUGACCAAGACCACAUCUGAUCAGGAACUAUAAAUACGAAUUCAAUUGAUUCUUCUUUAUAUCACUUUAUAUCAAGGGUGCCCAUAACAUCAGUGUAUUCAGUUUUCCAUCAAGUAGGAUGAAAGCGAAAUGUUCAUUGCAUGUGUUUAUUAAAAGGCAAAAGCAUGUGAAUUAUGAAGGUUGACUGAGGCUGAGAUUAGAGGGUGUGACAUCCUGUAUUGAACAUUCGAUAUGUUACGAAAGUCAGAAAGCAAGCAGCUGGGAUAAAUAUGAACGUGAUUCAAGGACAGGGACUAUAAGAGAGUAAUGAAUCUUUACACACAACAUGGAUCCACUCCAUACUCCAUACUCCAAUGAUUUUUAUUUUCUUAUUUAGCUUAAAUUCAUUCAGCAAUCUUUAAAAGUGAGCCAGAAAAUCUGUAUUCUAUUAAAUCUUUCCUGCUGAGCAGAAAAUUUCUUUUUAAAAAAUAAAAAAAAAUGGAGGGGAUGCUUGAAGAAGGAAACAAGUCACAGCAGUAAAGGGCCCUUACCCCUUUCUCUGAAGAGCACUCCAGAUAACAAGUGGCUCACUGUCAAAUAGCACGUUACCUCAUUUUUCCAAUCGUCUACUCAUUUAUUCCUUCUAAGCUUAAUCCCACGUUCUCCCUCAUGAUGGGAGGAAAAACUAAAGAAAGCAAUACGAAAUAAAAAAAUGAUAAUAUUAAUGUUCAACUAUUUUAUUUUUCUUAGGUUGAACAUGCUGCCAGCACCAACUUCCCUAAGCGUCUGCCACAUGAAUUAGCCGUCUAUACAAGACAAAUUACUUCUAUUCCGUCUAUUCAACAUCCUGCACCUUCUGGCUAGUUUCCACUCCAGCCUUUGUCUUUUUAAACGUCUUUACACGGUGUUUUGAGCAAGGGCCAUUGUUCCCUGAACAUACGCUUUUAUUUGCAACUCCAGGAAUCAGUAAAUUCAGGGAAGAGACUUUUAUGCUAAGCUCUAAAUGUUUUCUUCACAUUCUUGCUGAAAUCAUGUCAUCCAAAUUUCCAUUCAGCCCACAAACACGUGGAGACUUGGCCAAAACGGAGACUUUCCUCAGACCUGCUGGAACUCGGACCUCUCAACUUUGACCUGGAACAGAAGUCAUCAGGCCCCAUGCGAAACCCCCCGGAUCACCCUGUGACGAUGAUUACACCCUUUACUCCUGUGUUACUGUCCGUAUGUUGUUUUAUAUCACUGUAUUCGUGCCAUAUAAAUGGAGAUCAUAAUAGUCACUCAUGCUGAGACAGGAUCAGCGCCCUCAUUGGCUAGAUAACAUUGGGAAAUGAAAGCCAAAAACUGAUCCCAGUUAGCAUAGUCUCUUCAUUUCUAUACCUAUGACUUCAGACGUAUGCGCCUCUGUAGAAUGUGCCGUGAGGCACUGAUACAGAUGAAAUAUCCUUUAAAAAAAAAAAAUACUUGUUUUAUUUCAAAAAGGUAAACUGUGUAAAACUGUGUGUAGUGUGGAUUAUGUCUGUGAAAUGUGUGAAAGGUAGAAGAGAAAAAAAAAAAAGAGACUACAUCAUAACUAAUGCUUUAGACAUUACUGCUGAUCUCCACCACAGAUGGAACAGGUUGGGCAAGGACAAGUGAAGGCUUACUCAAACCAACUGUGUUUCUGAACAUCAGAAUGUGCCAUCAGCUGUAGUCGAAGCCAACAAACCUGUUCAGACUGUGGUGCUGGGAAACGAAAACAAAAAAACAAGCAAAAACCCUAUUUAAAUGAUCGGACUAUUGCACAUGUAUGAACUUUCCAUGGCACUAUCCUUUAGAACAUAUAUUUCCAGCCCUGGUUUUGGAAUACCUCAUGUCCUGCACAUUUUAGUGUUUUCCCUGGUCCCGACACUUCCGAUUCAACUAGUCAGCUGAUAGAGAGCUCUACGUUGACAUGGGUGAGCAAGCAAAACAUCAAAUUGUGCAGGACAGGGGUUUUCUGCAAAUCCACGGCAAGUGUCAUGCUGCCCUCUAGAGGCUUCGAGGACAAUUAAAAGCCUUUGUUUUGACCAGCACUAUUAAAGAAUCCGGAAAAGUAGUGAUCUGUUACUAAGCCAAUCCGACAUUAAGUCACUGCUGAUCUCGGAUAUCAGAGCAUUUCAUUGCAUGGAAAUUAUCUGAUCAAUAAGUGGGCAAUUUAAUGGAGAACACAGUCUGGCAAUAAGAUCAAGGCACAUGUACAACCGAGCUGAAAUCCAGACCACGAAACACAGCAGGUUUCAGAUCCAUCGAGUUUUAGUGUCCUUAAGAACUAAUAUAUAGCUAAAGUUCCCGUAGAAUGCAGGUAACAGUCAUUUACUGUUGAGAUGUCUAUUCUAGCAACUAUUAAUUCAAUUUCAGGGUUUAACCAUUUUAUUCUAUUCAAGUCCUUGUCUUGUGUAAGCUUGUCUUUAAAUGUCUAAGAUCAUAUUGGUCUUCAUGUGGUCAAGUAGGAGUUCUGGUGGACAAAAUGGCCACUGUUCUCGUCAAUGAAAAUGUCUUUGUGGUUACUGAACUUCCAUUUUCGAACUUUUUUUUCUCUCUCUCUCUUGCUGUGUUAGCAUUUUAUAUGUUUAACCAGUGUUCAACAGACACCUGGAAAGGAAGAUUCUGACUGUAGUGCUUGUUUAAUAAACAGUUGCUUACUUUU